Molecule: small nuclear RNA, 133 nt
Filed under: Hordeum vulgare
Lineage: Eukaryota; Viridiplantae; Streptophyta; Magnoliopsida; Poales; Poaceae
Also listed under: 1 other name
Description: U2 spliceosomal RNA
Rfam family: U2 spliceosomal RNA
About the family: U2 is a small nuclear RNA (snRNA) component of the spliceosome (involved in pre-mRNA splicing). Complementary binding between U2 snRNA (in an area lying towards the 5' end but 3' to hairpin I) and the branchpoint sequence (BPS) of the intron results the bulging out of an unpaired adenosine, on the BPS, which initiates a nucleophilic attack at the intronic 5' splice site, thus starting the first of two transesterification reactions that mediate splicing.
Source: RNAcentral
UUGCCUUUCUCGGCAUUUUGGCUAAGAACAAGUGCAAUAUUUAUUCUUAUCAGUUUAAUAUCUGACUAGAUAAUUGCACGUAUGUUGUAACGGGUGUAAAUAUUAUAUAGUAUGUUCCCCAUGAUUACCUUCC